RNAcentral lists this microRNA precursor (111 nucleotides) under Culex quinquefasciatus (southern house mosquito). Its description in RNAcentral is "microRNA cqu-mir-9 precursor". Its record names the gene cqu-mir-9. Lineage: Eukaryota; Metazoa; Arthropoda; Insecta; Diptera; Culicidae. The record is from miRBase by way of RNAcentral.
AUGCGUAUAAUUUCCGGCUGAAUCUUUGGUAUUCUAGCUGUAGAAUGUUGAGCUUGUUACGGUAUCUUCUAAAGCUUUAGUACCAGAGGUCCAACUGGGAAUUGCUUGCUG